UACGAAGGGGGCUAGCGUUGCUCGGAAUCACUGGGCGUAAAGGGUGCGUAGGCGGGUCUUUAAGUCAGGGGUGAAAUCCUGGAGCUCAACUCCAGAACUGCCUUUGAUACUGAGGAUCUUGAGUCCGGGAGAGGUGAGUGGAACUGCGAGUGUAGAGGUGAAAUUCGUAGAUAUUCGCAAGAACACCAGUGGCGAAGGCGGCUCACUGGCCCGGUACUGACGCUGAGGUGCGAAAGCCAGGGGAGCAAACGGG
Molecule: ribosomal RNA, 253 nt
Filed under: uncultured bacterium
Lineage: Bacteria
Description: partial 16S ribosomal RNA
Rfam family: Bacterial small subunit ribosomal RNA
Source: RNAcentral